This 119-nucleotide ribosomal RNA is filed under the name Pteropus alecto (black flying fox). The record is from RNAcentral. Lineage: Eukaryota; Metazoa; Chordata; Mammalia; Chiroptera; Pteropodidae.
GUCUACGGUCAUGCUACCCUGAACAAGUCUGAUCUUGUUUGAUCUUGGAAGCUAAGCAGGGUCGGGCCUGGUUAGUACUUGGAAGGGAGACCACCUAGGAAGACCAGGUGCUGUAGGCG